Molecule: transfer RNA, 68 nt
Filed under: Paraplagusia blochii (Bloch's tonguesole)
Lineage: Eukaryota; Metazoa; Chordata; Actinopteri; Pleuronectiformes; Cynoglossidae
Description: tRNA-Phe
Rfam family: tRNA
About the family: Transfer RNA (tRNA) molecules are approximately 80 nucleotides in length. Their secondary structure includes four short double-helical elements and three loops (D, anti-codon, and T loops). Further hydrogen bonds mediate the characteristic L-shaped molecular structure. tRNAs have two regions of fundamental functional importance: the anti-codon, which is responsible for specific mRNA codon recognition, and the 3' end, to which the tRNAs corresponding amino acid is attached (by aminoacyl-tRNA synthetases). tRNAs cope with the degeneracy of the genetic code in two manners: having more than one tRNA (with a specific anti-codon) for a particular amino acid; and 'wobble' base-pairing, i.e. permitting non-standard base-pairing at the 3rd anti-codon position.
Source: RNAcentral
GCUAAUGUAGCUUAAUGAAAGUAUAACACUGAAGAUGUUAGGAUGGGCCUUGAAAAGCCCCACGAGCA